Molecule: ribosomal RNA, 447 nt
Filed under: uncultured bacterium
Lineage: Bacteria
Description: bacterial SSU rRNA
Rfam family: Bacterial small subunit ribosomal RNA
Source: RNAcentral
GUCCAGACUCCUACGGGAGGCAGCAGUGGGGAAUAUUGCACAAUGGGGGAAACCCUGAUGCAGCGACGCCGCGUGAGUGAAGAAGUAUUUCGGUAUGUAAAGCUCUAUCAGCAGGGAAGAAAAUGACGGUACCUGACUAAGAAGCCCCGGCUAACUACGUGCCAGCAGCCGCGGUAAUACGUAGGGGGCAAGCGUUAUCCGGAUUUACUGGGUGUAAAGGGAGCGUAGACGGCAUGGCAAGUCAGAUGUGAAAGCCCGGGGCUCAACCCCGGGACUGCAUUUGAAACUGUCAGGCUGGAGUGCAGGAGAGGUAAGUGGAAUUCCUAGUGUAGCGGUGAAAUGCGUAGAUAUUAGGAGGAACACCAGUGGCGAAGGCGGCUUACUGGACUGUAACUGACGUUGAGGCUCGAAAGCGUGGGGAGCAAACAGGAUUAGAUACCCGGGUAU